GUACAUCCUAUACAUGUAUCAUAAAUCUUUACUGAGUGUGCCAUUAGAUCUCCACUUUUUUUGAAUACCCCAAAUUUUCGAUCUAGUAAAUUUCUAAAUGAAUCUUAUAUUUAGACACCAGAUGAAGCAAUGAUUUAAAUGAUUUACCAGAAUCUUGAUAUUAAAUUCAAAUCUAUCUCAUGAGUUAAUUUAGAAUUGAAUAUCAAGAUGCUCACAUACCUUAUAUAUCAUACAUGCCAAUUCAAAUUGAUAAAUAUCAUAGUUUAUAUGAUUAUUACUACUUAUUCAACAAAUUCGAUUGAUUGAUACGGAUGGAUUUUCUAUUACGAUAAAUUGACGCAAGAAUGGCCAGUCCAAUAGCUGCUUCGGCGGCUGCAAUAGCUAUAACAAAAAUUGAGAAAAUAUUUCCUUUUAAUUGGCGAUUAUCAAAAAAAUCUGAAAAUGUUAUGAAAUUUAUAUUGACUGCAUUCAAUAGAAGUUCAAGACACAUAAGCGCCCUAACCAUAUUUCGACUCGUGAUCAAUCCAUAGAUACCAAUAGAAAAUAAAUAGGCACUCAAAACAAGUACAUGCUCGAGCAUUAUUCAACAACUCCUGAUCCAGUUCAGUUUAUUUCAAUAUGAACAAAAAUUGAAUUCAAAUAGCCAACUAAUUGGGUUGAUUAGAAUAAUCAUAUUACAAAUGCAGAACAAAGAACUAUAUUCGGCCUAAAUUCAAUAAAAAUUUGUAGUUAGAAAACAUUUUCAAAUAGAAUUGAAACAAAAUGAAUGGAAUAAUUUAGGAAACCUUGAAAGUUGAAUGCUAAUUCUCAAAAUUUAUUACUGACGAGCCACAGUAAUUGCACCUAUCAAACUAACUAAGAGAAUUAUUGAAAUGAAUUCAAAUGGAAGAAAAAAGUCCGUUGAUAAAUGAAUUCCAAUUUGUUGACCAUUAUUUGUUAAAUCCUGCUCUAGAAUCUGGUUUGUUCUGGUAGUCCAAAUAAUCGCAUACCAGGACGUAUCCGAAAUAAUAGUAAUUAAUGAAACAAAAAUACUUGUACAAAUUAAGGAAGUAACCCCGUCCCCAACAGUCCAAAGGCUCCAAUCCUUGGCAUUUUCUGAACCAUUCAUGAACAUGACAGCAAAUAGAAUUAAAACAUUUAUAGCUCCCACAUAAAUAAGGAGUUGGGCAGCAGCUACAAAGUGAGAAUUUGAUAAAAUAUAAAAUAAGGAUAUACAAACAAGAACCAAUCCCAACGAAAAGGCAGAAUAAAUUGGGUUAGUAAGUAAUACUACCCCCAGACCCCCUAAGAUAAGAACUAAGCCCAGAGAGAGUAAAAUAAAAUCAUGUAUUGAACCCGGCAAAUCCAUUGCACGUUAAAAUCCGCGAUCAAAAAAUCGAAUUGUUUUUUCAUAAUUUUGUUGAUCCGACCAGGAACAACUUUUUCUAAUUAGGUUCUAUUUGAAUCAAACCCUGACGGAUGUAAAUUAGAGUAGCUCAAAUUCUGUUGAUUACUUUGACGUAUUAAUUAAAAAAAUUGACAUUUGGAAUUCAAAUAAAAAAAAAAUAGAGAUAGAAUUCAGACUUAGGUCUAUUGACCUAUUUUUAAUUUAAAAAUUAAAAAAUGGGAUUGUUACAACCGUUUCUCUAAACGAAAGAAAAGGUAGGGAUUUUGGGUUUUUGCAAGUAUUCAACAGGACAAAUAGAACAAACUAUAUUGGUCCUCUUAGAGAUCGAAUUCAAAUGGAAUUUGAAUUUCUCAAAAAAAAUGAAUUAAAAGGUCUUUGCUGAUUUAGCUCGUUGAAUUAAAAAUUGUUCGAAUUGUAUAAUCGUCAAUUACGCGCAUCGGUAAACGACCUAAAGCGAUUUGAUUAUAAUUCAAUUCGUGACGAUCAUAAGUAGAAAGCUCGUAUUCUUCGGUCAUUGAUAAGCAAUUCGUUGGACAAUAUUCAACGCAAUUUCCACAAAAAAUACAAAUUCCAAAAUCAAUGCUGUAAUUAAGCAAACGUUUCUUUCGAAUCUCGGUUUCCAGUUUCCAAUCAACAACGGGUAAAUUUAUAGGGCAUACGCGAACACAUACUUCACAAGCAAUGCAUUUAUCAAAUUCAAAGUGUAUUCGGCCCCGCAAACGUUCGGAUGUAAUUAAUUUUUCAUAAGGAUAUUGAAUAGUUACUGGUAAACGAUUUGCGUGAGAUAAGGUAAUCAUGAAACUUUGACCAAUGUAUCGUGCAGCUCGUAUGCUUUGUUGACCAUAAUUGAUGAAUCCGGUUAUCAUGGUGAGCAUAUCCCUAUAUUUAAUAUUUAUGAAAAAUUUUCUUUCUCUUGUGUCGGAGAAACCGCGAAUAUCAAAAAGUAUUCCUUUGUGAUUUUUAUAGUGAAAGGAGUUGGGAAGAGGUUGUUAAUAAUAGAUUACCCAGAGAGAUGGGUAAAAGAAAUUUCCAGCCAAAGUUUAAUAGUUGAUCCAUUCUUAGUCUAGGUAAAGUCCAUCUUGUUGUGAUAGACAUGAACAAGAACAAAUAAGUUUUAACUAAUGUACUAAGGAUACCAAUUGUUAUUCCAAAGACUCUACCCCCAUCGUUUAUUUCAAAAAAACGAUUCACGAAUAUGGACGGAAUAAAGAUAUUCCAACCGCCUAAGUAAAGAAUUGUUACAAAUAAUGAAGAAACUAAUAAAUUUAGAUAAGAAGCAACGUAAAAUAAACCAAAUUUUAUACCUGAGUAUUCAGUUUGAUAACCAGCUACUAAUUCUUCUUCGGCUUCUGGUAAAUCAAAAGGCAAUCUCUCGCAUUCUGCUAGGGAAGAGAUUAGAAAAAUUAGAAAUCCUACGGGUUGCCGCCACAAAUUCCACCCCCAAAAUCCAUAUUUUGAUUGUGCCUCAACUAUAUCAACUGUACUCGAACUAUUAGAUAAUUAUAGUCGGUGAUAAUAUCACUAUUCCCAUCGCUAUUACAGAACUGUACAUGAAAUUUUCACCUCAUACGGCUCCUAUAAGGCCAGAAAAAAUCUAAGUUCAAAGAUCAGUGGAUCUUUUUUAUCUUGUAUCUUGAUUUGUUUGUAUGAUAGAGCGUAAAAAAGCUCUCGAACAUUUAGAAAUUCGACCAAAAAAAUUCUGUCUGUUAGAAUAACUUCUGAAUUUAUCUCAUCCUCGAAAAUAAGAAUUUCAUUGUAAUAUUUUAUUUUCUUUGUUGAGUAAUAACUUGAAUCCUUCAAUAAAAUACUCCUUCUAGCAAUACCAACAGCUAUGUUAACUUAUAAGUUUCACCCAUGAAGACGAAAAGUAAAUUUUUUUAUUCUAGUAAUUCAUACAUUAUAACACAACUUUUAUCAUUAUCAAUAGAAAUAAGAUAAAUAAGCUAUAGGGAAUAGCUUUAAGACAAAAAAGCGUCUUCCUAGUCUUCUUUCGGAAAAAAGUAAAGGAUUAUUUCGUUCUUGAUAGUUAUUUCUUUGAUCGGUGGAUGGAAGCAUACUCUGGAUAGGAAUUCGGGGGGAGUACUAUUAAAGUAUUUCUACCAACUCAAAACCCCAAAUCAAUCUCUCGAAUUUUAAAAACAUAAUUUUUUUUUUUACUCUCUCUUACUAAUCCUUUGUGUAUCUUGGUGUUCCUAACCAUCUACUCAUUUUUGCGCAAUCGCUCGUUAGCAUUAGGGUAAUACAUAGAAAUAAUAGUGAAAACUAAAUACUAAAUAAUGGUCUUUUAAACCCGCUUCAAAGUAGGUUCGCUAAUCAACCAAUCGUGGGGCAACCGGUCUCGUCUUUUUAUGUUUAUUUCCGCUUUAUUCUUGUACAUAGGAAAUGAGUCUCAAGUUUUUUUACUACAAAUUUCAAAGCAGUUUUCUUUCACUCAUAUAACUAUUCCAUUUUAUUCCCAAAUGAUGAAUAUAAAAAACGGAAGAUAUCUAUUCAAUUCAUUUUGCUUUCUUCCAAAAGAGAAAGCAAAAAGGAAAUGUUUCUGUUUCAACGAAUCGCACGUAGAGAUAUGGAUAAUACACAGAGAGUUAAUGGGAUUUCAUAACUAAUGGAUUGAGCAGCAGCUCGUAGACCACCUAAAAAAGAAUAUUUAUUAUUUGAUCCAUAUCCUGACAUAAGAAGUCCGAUGGGAACAAUACUUGAAAUCGCAAUCCAUAAAAAAACACCGAUAUUUAGAUCCGAUAAAACAAAGCGAUAGCCAAAAGGAAUUACUGAAUAGCUUAAUAGAGCUGAUAUGACUGCUAUAGACGGUCCGAUACUGAAUAAACGAAUAUCCCCUCUAGAUGGAAAAAGAUUCUCUUUGAAAAGCAGUUUUGUCCCAUCCGCUAGAGCUUGAAGAACUCCCAAAGGACCGGCAUAUUCAGGUCCAAUACGUUGUUGUAGCCCCGCGGAUAUUUCUCUUUCUAACCAUACAAUUACUAGUACACCUAUCGUAAUUCCCAAUACAAGAGCCAAAAUAGGGGCAAGGAUCCAUAGAAUUCCAUAGAUUUCGUUUAAGGCUUCCAAUCUGAAAAAAGAAUUGAUAGCUUGUACUUCGGUUGUAUCAAUUAUCAUUUCAACGAUCAACUUCUCCCAUAAUAAUAUCUAUGCUACCUAGUAUUGUCAUAAUAUCUGCCAAUUUCAUUCUUUUAAUUAAUUGAGGAAGAAUUUGCAAAUUGAUAAAACCCGGCGGACGAAUUUUCCAUCGCCAAGGAAAACAACUCUGAUCCCCUAUCAGAAAAAUUCCCAACUCUCCCUUUGGGGCUUCAACUCUCACAUAAAGUUCUUGUUUAGGCAAUUCAAAAGUAGGGGAAGUUUUUUUACUAAUGAAUCGAUAUUCAAAAUCGUCCCAUUCCGGAUGCCUUUCUCUAUCAAAAUGUCGGGUUUCUAAAUUUUCAUAGGGACCCCCCGGAAUUCUUUCCAACGCCUGUUGAAUAAUUUUUAUGGAUUCCGUCAUUUCACCAAUUCGGACUAAAUAACGAGCUAAUGAAUCUCCCUCUUUUUGCCACGGAACUUCCCAAUCAAAUUCGUCGUAAGACUCAUAAUGAUCCACUUUACGAAGAUCCCAUUGUACUCCGGAAGCUCGUAGCAUUGGUCCUGAUAAACCCCAAUUUAUUGCUUCCUCCGCGCCAACAAUACCUACUCCUUCAACUCGUUCUAAAAAAAUAGGAUUUCGCGUAAUGAGUUUUUGAUAUUCAGUAACUCUUGUUAAAAAAUAAUCGCAGAAAUCCAAACAUUUAUCUAUCCAGCCAUGAGGUAGAUCAGCUGCUACUCCUCCGAUACGAAAAAAAUUAUGCAUCAUUCUCAUACCAGUGGCAGCUUCGAAUAAAUCAUAUACUAACUCUCUUUCUCUAAAAAUAUAGAAAAAAGGAGUCUGUGCACCAAUAUCCGCCAUAAAAGGGCCAAGCCAUNNNNN
This 5339-nucleotide long non-coding RNA is filed under the name Linum usitatissimum (flax). Its description in RNAcentral is "long non-coding RNA (LUSI_LNC006792)". Lineage: Eukaryota; Viridiplantae; Streptophyta; Magnoliopsida; Malpighiales; Linaceae. The record is from RNAcentral.